GCCUAACACAUGCAAGUCGAGCGGUAACACAGAGAGCUUGCUCUCGGGUGACGAGCGGCGGACGGGUGAGUAAUGUCUGGGAAACUGCCUGAUGGAGGGGGAUAACUACUGGAAACGGUAGCUAAUACCGCAUAACGUCUUCGGACCAAAGUGGGGGACCUUCGGGCCUCAUGCCAUCAGAUGUGCCCAGAUGGGAUUAGCUAUAGUGGGGUAAUGGCUCACCUAGCGACG
RNAcentral lists this ribosomal RNA (231 nucleotides) under uncultured bacterium. RNAcentral describes it as "partial 16S ribosomal RNA". It matches the Rfam family "Bacterial small subunit ribosomal RNA", at positions 46 to 278 of the family's 1533-position model. The record is from RNAcentral.